GGUGAUCUAUCAUGAAGGAGAUUCAAAGGGAGAUUAAUUGUGCGCUCAUUUCUUGAUCAUAUUCUGCACAUUGAGGUGUUUCUGGUUUGAUCAAGAAUCUGGUUUAGCAUCCUUGGUGAUUGUUGUGUGUAGCGGUUGUGACUACAAGGGAUAGACUCGUGGAGUCUAGUUUACUUUGAGGAUUGUUCAAAGUGGUUUUGUAGAUUGCAGGAGAGGGUAUAUCUUGCUACACGUCUUGUUGUGUUGUAUGCCUAUAUUUUGGUUAGAGGGUUAGAGAGGUGUUUUAUAUUUUUGAUAUGGAGGUCUUUUAUAAAAGCCUUGUUGUAAAAACCUUGACCAUUAUAGUGCAUUCGCUUCCUGGGUUUCGAAGGACAUUGGAUGUAGGCAUUGUUGGCCGAAUCAGUAUAAAAACCAGUGUUUCAUUUCUCUAUCCCCGCUCUUUUAUAUUCAGUCGACUAUAUUAUUUGCAUAGUCAACUACGAUUUUCCAUUGCACACAUUUUUCAUUACUUCCGUUUCAAGAAAGACUUGUAAAGUUUUCAACUUUGUUUUAAAGAUUGCAAAAAGACUGAUUUUGAAAACUCACUAAUUCACCCCUCCUCUUGGUGUAAAACGAAGCCUACGUGUUUUCCAACACAUCAAUCCCCUUUAGCAUAGAUAAGGGCAUCAAAUUAACACUUGACCCUAAAUCAAGUAAAGCUUUUCCCAUCUUCACACUCCCAAUGGCGCAAGGAAUUGUAAAACUUCUUGGAUCCUUUACUUUUGGAUGGUGUUUCUUCUUCAAAGAGUCACUACAACCUUCUUGUUCCUUGGUAGCUUUCUCCUCGAAAUCUAUCUUUUCUCCAAGAUAUUGCUUUAUACGCCUUGCAUCAACAAGAAUUUAGUCAAUGGUAUAGUAAUAUCCAUUUGAUUGAAGAUUUCUCUAAAGUGCUCACACUUACUCUCUUCUUUCUCUUCUCCUUUUGGGUAAGGAAGAACUCUCUCAUCUUUCUCAAUUUUCUCCUCUUUUUCUAUUUUUUUCUCUCCCCUCUUCUCUUUUUCUUCUCCAAUCUCUCCCUCACAUAUUUCUUCUUUUUCCUCUCUCUUUUCUAACUCAACACUUUCUUUUUCCACUCUUUCCUCAACCACACUCACAACAGUCUUACAAUCUUCUUUAGGGUUAACCUCAAUAUUAGACCUAAAUUGAUUUUUCUCUUAGACCUCCACCCU
Molecule: long non-coding RNA, 1208 nt
Filed under: Vigna radiata
Lineage: Eukaryota; Viridiplantae; Streptophyta; Magnoliopsida; Fabales; Fabaceae
Description: long non-coding RNA (VRAD_LNC001784)
Source: RNAcentral